AGGUAAUUGUGUUAUCUUUGGAAUCCUGUAAUUGUAGAAUGCAAAGUUUAGUGAUUAUUUAAACUGGGCUAAGGCUGGUAAGAGUAUGGAGCAAUGGCCCCUAAGGACUCUAAGGGCUGAAGCCAAGGAGCCGCCUCCCUUCCCUAUUCUGCCCAGCCCAGGGGACCUGCCCCCAUUCCUGUGGCCCAGGGGCCCAGCUUCCACUCGGCAGUGUCAGAAGUGAGUUGUGACUCUGCCUUGGUUGUGAGAUGAGUACAUUCCAAGGGAGCAGCCACGGGGAGGGGGCAGGCUCAGUGAUCCCUUGGAGGCUCCGAGCAGCUGGCCCGAGCUCCAGCUCGCCUCCAACGGAAACUCAAGCGCCCUCAGAAAUGACCCUGGCCGCUGUCACCGCAGAGCUGAGGCAGUGUUGUCAGGGCUAAUGUGAAAUCUCUUCCCGUGGCGCCGAUUCUCCGGCUCGGCAGCGCCAUCUCGGACAGAUUGAGGUCUCUGUGGCUUUGGUGACCCUGCGUAAGCAUUUCCACCGUGUCCCAGCUCUGCUUUCAGCCUGCCGCCCACUGCAACCCCCCUCACCUGACCUCAGGGCUUGAGGAGGGGGGCAGUGACCCCAAGGCCAGGGGCUUUUGCUCAGGAGAGAGGUCAGGCUUCCUGGGGGCUUUGAGCUCUACCGGGGUUCAGCUGACCUGGGACCAGGUGUCACCCAGAGAUGUGCCUCAGGAAGGGCUAGGGAACAAUUUUGUUACUGUAUUAACUUUAGUCACUUAACUCACUUGAGAAACUAACCAAUUUUUACUUUCUGUCUAGAAUGAUGUAUGUGUAGGAGAGUGAGCCGUCAUGCUCCUGAAGUGCCUUGUUUUCUCUGAUAUAAAUAUAUUUAUGAGGAUCUGGUCCAGUGGAUUCUUGGGUGUGUUUGCCACAUCAAGAUUUUAGGGAGUGGGCUUGUUACAUAGUGGGGUUACAGUCUGAAAAUGAGUCCCCUUCCCCUGAAGAUGGGAAAGGAGCUUGAGAUGCAGCUCUGAGCUCUAACCUUCAGGGGUUAAGCCAGACCCCUGAAGUGACCCUUUCCUUGUCACCCUAUUCCUCUCAGGUCCUUAGAAGGAGGUCUAGUUUUUCAAAGCCCCAUGCCUCCAAGCCUGGUCCUACUUGAGUCGCUGCCGGGCUCGUGUGUGUACCACAUUAGCACCCCAGUGACCUGAAGAUUCUGUGUAAUUGUUUUACGUAUACAUGUGAAUGCAUAAAUGCCAACAUCUUAAAUAAUUUGAUAAAGUCUUUGUAACCACG
This 1278-nucleotide long non-coding RNA is filed under the name Phocoena sinus (vaquita). RNAcentral describes it as "lncRNA (ENSPSNG00000005345.1)". Lineage: Eukaryota; Metazoa; Chordata; Mammalia; Artiodactyla; Phocoenidae. The record is from RNAcentral.